Molecule: non-coding RNA, 1647 nt
Organism: Saimiri boliviensis boliviensis (Bolivian squirrel monkey)
Lineage: Eukaryota; Metazoa; Chordata; Mammalia; Primates; Cebidae
Source: RefSeq, a predicted model, not a curated record
UAGGCCUUGCUUCGCCCCCGCCCGCGCGCGGCCGCCGUCUGCGUCACGGCGCCAGUGGGGUCCGGACGCUCGCGCUCCGGCCUCAGACCCUGCGAUGGUCUCACCUGGCCGGAGGGGCCAUGCGGGAGGUGCGGCUUCGGCUUCCGCGCGGCAUCCUGGCGACGGGGCUGCCCGGCCUUCAGACGUGCGAGUACCAGGGACGGGCGCAGCAGCUGCUGAGGGAGCCGGAAGGCGGGGGGCGGGGCCGGCCUCGGCGCGCAACCAAUCAGCACACAGGCAGAGGACUUCCGUUCCCGAACGUCUCCGGGGCCCUGAAGGUCACUGAAGGAGCAGGACGUCACGAGGACGCCCAGCCCCCGCCUCGAGUUCCGAUUGGCCCCGAGUGAGCCAGGGGCCUCUGACGUCACGGGAACGCUCCUGCGGCGACGUCCCAGGGGCGGGCCUCCGGCGGCCGGCGUCGCUCCCCGAGCGCGGUGCUGCGCUCCUGCCGGCGGAAGAGCGGCCGUGGACAGAGUCCGACCCGGCCCAGAGUUCACGUCGCUAGAAAACCGCCCGGGCGCGGUGGCGGAGGGAGCCCUUGCGGCCGGGAGUGCAGGAGCGGCCGGGGCAGCGUGGCGCGACCCCGUCUCCGGAGUCCCACCUGAGCCUCCCAGCUCCUGGAACCCCCGGGUUCAAGGCUGCAGUGAGCUGUGGCCCCGCCCCCGCACCCCAGCCUGCGAGACUCAGUGUUUCGUCACUACGGUUAGCCUAUGAGGAUCUUGAAAUUCAGAUGAAGAAAGACGAAAAGAUGAACAUGAGUGGCAAAACACACAUUGACUCAGACAGACUUGGCAUGGGGUUUGGAAACUGCAGAAGUGGUAUUUCACAUUCAGUGGCUUCAGAUAUGCAGACCAUAGAAUAAGAAUCACCCAUCGUGGCAAAACCAAGAAAAAAGUGUAAUGAUGACAGUGAUGAUUCAUAUUUCACUUCCAGCUCAAGGAUAAGAAAACUAAAGGAAAGAUGAGAUACCAAGAUUAGGCAAAACCAAGUAACUCACUCAAGGUCAUAAAAUCAAUAAAGGACAGAGCUAGGAUUUGAACCUGUGUCCGUCUGACUCUCAAGCCUAUGCUUAGCCACUGUAACACUGUUUUAGUUUGUCUUCAUGAACACUCUAAGUAUAUACAACAAGAACUAAGAGUACAGAUGAAGACAGAAAGACCUGGGUCCAUAUCCUGGCACUACCAUGUUCCAGCUGUGGGAUGGAAGACAAGCUCCUCAACCUCUGGGAGCCUCAAGUCCUUCACCUACAAAAUUGAGGUGCAUUAAGGUACCUAUGGGUAAGCGUAAAAGGGUAAAUAGGAAAACUAAAUGAGAUAAGGCAUUCAGAGGGCUCAGCAUAGUGCCUGGCACAUAAAUGUUCAGUAGAUGUUGGAUGAUAUCACUACCAUCAUCAGCAUCUUCCCUUUUUUAUAGAUAAAAUGGAGACAUAGAGAGAGAAAUUUGAUGCAACGUUACAAAACCAGUUAGUGUCAAAGACUUUUAAACACAAGUCUAGCCAGCUUCAAAGUAUCAACUCUUUUCCAUUUGCCAAAUGUCCCCUGAAAGCAUAGAAAGUACAUCCCGUGGGCCAGGCGUGGUGGCUCAUGCCUGUAAUCCAAGCACUUUGGC